AGUGAACGCUGGCGGUAGGCCUAACACAUGCAAGUCGAACGGCAGCACAGUAAGAGCUUGCUCUUACGGGUGGCGAGUGGCGGACGGGUGAGGAGUACAUCGGAAUCUACUUUUUCGUGGGGGAUAACGUAGGGAAACUUACGCUAAUACCGCAUACGACCUACGGGUGAAAGCAGGGGAUCUUCGGACCUUGCGCGAUUGAAUGAGCCGAUGUCGGAUUAGCUAGUUGGCGGGGUAAAGGCCCACCAAGGCGACGAUCCGUAGCUGGUCUGAGAGGAUGAUCAGCCACACUGGAACUGAGACACGGUCCAGACUCCUACGGGAGGCAGCAGUGGGGAAUAUUGGACGAUGGGCGCAAGCCUGAUCCAGCCAUACCGCGUGGGUGAAGAAGGCCUUCGGGUUGUAAAGCCCUUUUGUUGGGAAAGAAAAGCAGCAGGUUAAUACCCCGCUGUUCUGACGGUACCCAAAGAAUAAGCACCGGCUAACUUCGUG
RNAcentral lists this ribosomal RNA (492 nucleotides) under uncultured bacterium. RNAcentral's name for it is "partial 16S ribosomal RNA". It matches the Rfam family "Bacterial small subunit ribosomal RNA", at positions 29 to 507 of the family's 1533-position model. The record is from RNAcentral.